This 274-nucleotide ribosomal RNA is filed under the name uncultured bacterium. RNAcentral's name for it is "partial 16S ribosomal RNA". It matches the Rfam family "Bacterial small subunit ribosomal RNA", at positions 523 to 796 of the family's 1533-position model. The record is from RNAcentral.
AUACGGAGGGUCCAGGCGUUAUCCGGAAUCAUUGGGUUUAAAGGGUCCGCAGGCGGUCAAUUAAGUCAGAGGUGAAAGCCCAUCGCUCAACGAUGGAACUGCCUUUGAUACUGGUUGACUUGAGUUAUACGGAAGUAGAUAGAAUAAGUAGUGUAGCGGUGAAAUGCAUAGAUAUUACUUAGAAUACCGAUUGCGAAGGCAGUCUACUACGUAUAUACUGACGCUGAGGGACGAAAGCGUGGGGAGCGAACAGGAUUAGAUACCCUAGUAGUCC